RNAcentral lists this unclassified non-coding RNA (333 nucleotides) under Hevea brasiliensis (rubber tree). The record is from RNAcentral. Lineage: Eukaryota; Viridiplantae; Streptophyta; Magnoliopsida; Malpighiales; Euphorbiaceae.
GCCUGUAGGCCUUGCAGAAUACCUAAAAUGCAUAAAGAAUGACUACAAAAUAAAACCAUUCGGAAAAGCAAGCAUAUAGCAUCGGAAGAACAUAGAUUGAUUAAUUGCUACGAAAAAGACGUGCACUUGGUGAAUGAACAAAUGAUCCCACAAGAGAUUGCAAUAACUAUAUGUAAAAAGAAAUUACAUUGAUAACUUCUAACAUUAAAUUUCCAUGACAUAGCAUUCUCAAGUAUUCUUGCAAGUAACAUUCUUUAUAAAAUGACAUGCAUCAUUUAUCAGAAAGACGUGUCUUAGAACAAAAAUCUAACCUCUGGUAGUCUGGCAGCAAAA